This 389-nucleotide ribosomal RNA is filed under the name uncultured bacterium. RNAcentral describes it as "bacterial SSU rRNA". It matches the Rfam family "Bacterial small subunit ribosomal RNA", at positions 28 to 417 of the family's 1533-position model. The record is from RNAcentral.
GUUGAACGCUGGCGGCAUGCCUUACACAUGCAAGUCGAACGGCAGCACGGGAGCUUGCUCCUGGUGGCGAGUGGCGAACGGGUGAGUAAUACAUCGGAACGUACCCUGAAGUGGGGGAUAACGUAGCGAAAGUUACGCUAAUACCGCAUAUUCUGUGAGCAGGAAAGAGGGGGAUCGCAAGACCUCUUGCUUUAGGAGCGGCCGAUGUCGGAUUAGCUAGUUGGUGAGGUAAAGGCUCACCAAGGCGACGAUCCGUAGCGGGUCUGAGAGGAUGAUCCGCCACACUGGGACUGAGACACGGCCCAGACUCCUACGGGAGGCAGCAGUGGGGAAUUUUGGACAAUGGGCGCAAGCCUGAUCCAGCCAUGCCGCGUGAGUGAAGAAGGCCU